Molecule: transfer RNA, 76 nt
Filed under: Clostridium coskatii
Lineage: Bacteria; Bacillati; Bacillota; Clostridia; Eubacteriales; Clostridiaceae
Description: tRNA-Ala
Source: RNAcentral
CUCUGCCAUAAAAAGCUGUAGGCCUGUACUGACUUCUAUAUUUGCCUGCUUUUAUAUGCUCCAUAGCGUCCUUAUC